This 337-nucleotide ribosomal RNA is filed under the name Spongospora sp. RNAcentral describes it as "SSU rRNA". It matches the Rfam family "Eukaryotic small subunit ribosomal RNA", at positions 611 to 955 of the family's 1831-position model. RNAcentral also lists the same sequence under 2 other names. The record is from RNAcentral. Lineage: Eukaryota; Endomyxa; Phytomyxea; Plasmodiophorida; Plasmodiophoridae.
GACUUGUGUGUGUUGCUGUUCAGCGGUCUGCAUUCAAAAGAGUGUUACGACAUGCGGCAGUGGCGCCGUAAAAUCUUCAACUGGAUCGCAACUGGACUUAAUUGCCUGGUUGCAGUCAUUCGGUUGAUCGUUUACUGUGAGAAAAUUAGAGUGUUCAAGGCAGGCAUUAUUGCAAUUGAAUAUGUUAGCAUGGAAUAAUAAGAUAAGGCUUUCGCGUUUAUUUUGUUGGUUUCUAGAUCGGAAGUAAUGAUUGAUAGGGACAGUUGGGGGUGCUAGUAUUCAGCGGCCAGAGGUGAAAUUCAUGGAUUCGCUGAAGACUAACUUAUGCGAAAGCAUU